AGUGGCUUAUAAAGGCAGCGUUGAAGCCAUUGUGGUCAAGUGUGCAGUUCACUAUCUUACGGAUUCGAAGUAAGAGGAACGUCUUAUUCAUUACAUUCUAACUAUACAUAACUCUGCAAUUUACAAGACUCAAGUAAACAUACGCAUAUGCGGUUCCUCGCUCUGUUCCUUCUGCUGGCGCUCGCCUUCGCCUUCGCCGCCGCCAAGACCUUGCCUUGCUGUUUCGGCGGAGGUCACCACGGUCAUCACGGAGGUCAUCAUGGGGGUCAUCAUGGAGGUCAUCAUGGGGGUCACCAUGGAGGUCAUUUUGGGUGAUUUAGUGGCGCCUUCUGUGACUGUGACUGGACCGGGAAAUUAAACGACCAUCCUGCAGCAUGACAAAUAAAGCUUUUCUGAAGAUUA
Molecule: long non-coding RNA, 402 nt
Filed under: Penaeus japonicus
Lineage: Eukaryota; Metazoa; Arthropoda; Malacostraca; Decapoda; Penaeidae
Description: uncharacterized LOC122266846
Source: RNAcentral